GUCGAACGGUGAUCUCGGUGCUUGCACCGGGUGAUCAGUGGCGAACGGGUGAGUAACACGUGAGCAACCUGCCCCUGACUCUGGGAUAACCCCGAGAAAUCGGAGCUAAUACCGGAUACGAGACGCACAGGCAUCUGUAGCGUCUGGAAAGAAUUUUGGUCAGGGAUGGGCUCGCGGCCUAUCAGCUUGUUGGUGGGGUAACGGCCCACCAAGGCGACGACGGGUAGCCGGCCUGAGAGGGCGACCGGCCACACUGGGACUGAGACACGGCCCAGACUCCUACGGGAGGCAGCAGUGGGGAAUAUUGCACAAUGGGCGAAAGCCUGAUGCAGCGACGCCGCGUGGGGGAUGAAGGCCUUCGGGUUGUAAACCCCUUUCAGCAGGGAAGAAGCGAAAGUGACGGUACCUGCAGAAGAAGCGCCGGCUAACUACGUGCCAGCAGCCGCGGUAAUACGUAGGGCGCAAGCGUUGUCCGGAAUUAUUGGGCGUAAAGAGCUCGUAGGCGGUCUGUCGCGUCUGCUGUGAAAACCCGAGGCUCAACCUCGGGCCUGCAGUGGGUACGGGCAGACUAGAGUGCGGUAGGGGAGACUGGAAUUCCUGGUGUAGCGGUGGAAUGCGCAGAUAUCAGGAGGAACACCGAUGGCGAAGGCAGGUCUCUGGGCCGCAACUGACGCUGAGGAGCGAAAGCAUGGGGAGCGAACAGGAUUAGAUACCCUGGUAGUCCAUGCCGUAAACGUUGGGCACUAGGUGUGGGGCUCAUUCCACGAGUUCCGUGCCGCAGCAAACGCAUUAAGUGCCCCGCCUGGGG
RNAcentral lists this ribosomal RNA (808 nucleotides) under Cellulomonas sp. MCCC 1A10560. RNAcentral describes it as "bacterial SSU rRNA". It matches the Rfam family "Bacterial small subunit ribosomal RNA", at positions 61 to 878 of the family's 1533-position model. The record is from RNAcentral. Lineage: Bacteria; Bacillati; Actinomycetota; Actinomycetes; Micrococcales; Cellulomonadaceae.